Molecule: long non-coding RNA, 742 nt
Organism: Penaeus indicus
Lineage: Eukaryota; Metazoa; Arthropoda; Malacostraca; Decapoda; Penaeidae
Exons: 4
Source: RefSeq, a predicted model, not a curated record
CGACAGGUUCCUCGCUCGCCCGCUCUCUGUGUCUCGUUACUCCGGCGUCAGUUUGUGUCGAGUCGCCGAGUGCCGAGGUGAUCGCCAGACGACCGCCAGCAUCCGCCCAACUCGACCAGUGUCUCGCUAGUCCGUCUGGCGAUGGAGAGGAACCGAGCGCGAAGUGAGGCGAGGAAAAUGAGCCAAAUGAGAUGAAAUGUGACUCAUUCGGAAUGUUAAAUAUGGCGGAGGCAGCGGCGCGUGGAGUGUCGCUGAAAAAUCCCGUCUGAACUCGGCCAUCUCGGAGUGUGCUGUGUGUGAGCGGAAAAAAAGAGAGAAAGAAAAACAAUGUGAGUAAAUAAGUAAAGAAAGAACAAGAAAAAAAAAAAUACAGGUAAAUAAAUAAAUAGAAAAUCGAAGGAGCAUAAAAAAGAAAGAAAGACAAGAAAAGAAAGAAAAAAAGAAUUAAAGAAAAAUAAACGAAGGAGCAUUAAAAAGAAGAUAGAAAGAUUAUGAUUCCUCAUGAGUGUCUUGGUGUCCCCCAGCAGGAAGCCAGAGUAGGACACGUGAUACACUGAGACAAGGCGUGUGACGGGCAAGUCCAUCCCGCUGUUUCUCUCGCAGUGACGGUGCACGCACCGCGGCGAACCGCCAUUAUGGAGUGUUAGGUGCAAGAUGAUGACCAACAGCAUGGAGCAGAACGACUGGAAAGUUCCUCCCGACAACACCGUCCAGGUGGUUGAUCCUAUGGGCAUGAACGAGG